UAAGUUGGGGGUGAAAUCUCCGGGCUCAACCCGGAGCUCGUUCUCAAAACUGGUAGACUUGAGUAAGGUAGAGGCUGACGGAAUUCUGCAAGUAGGGGUAAAAUCCGUUGAUCUGCAGAGGAACACCAAAAGCGAAGGCAGUCAGCUGGGCCUUUACUGACGCUGAGGGACGAAAGCGUGGGUAGCGAACGGGAUUAGAUACCCCGGUAGUCCACGCCGUAAAUGAUGGAUACUGGACAUUGGUACUCGAUCGUAUCAGUGUCUCAAGCUAACGCAUUAAGUAUCCCGCCUGGGGAGUACGGUCGCAAGAUUAAAACUCAAAGGAAUAGACGGGGACCCACACAAGCGGUGGAGCAUGUGGUUUAAUUCGACAAUAAGCGAGGAACCUUACCAGGGCUUGACAUCCCGAGAAUUCUUUAGAAAUAGAGAAGUGCCUUUAUGGAACUCGGUGACAGGUGCUGCAUGGUUGUCGUCAGCUCGUGCCUUGAGGUGUUCGGUUAAGUCCGUAAACGAGCGCAACCCUAGUCCUAUGUUGUAUAUUUCAUAGGAGACUGCCUUGUCCAACGAGGAGGAAGGUUAGGAUGACGUCAAAUCAGCAUGGCCCUUAUGUCCUGGGCGACACACGUGCUACAAUGGUCGGUACAAUGGGUAGCCAACCCGCGAGGGGGAGCCAAUCCCAUCAAAGCCGGUCCAAGUUCGGAUUGGAGGCUGCAACUCGCCUCCAUGAAG
RNAcentral lists this ribosomal RNA (729 nucleotides) under uncultured bacterium. RNAcentral describes it as "bacterial SSU rRNA". It matches the Rfam family "Bacterial small subunit ribosomal RNA", at positions 584 to 1325 of the family's 1533-position model. The record is from RNAcentral.